Rosa chinensis is the source of this 1616-nucleotide long non-coding RNA. RefSeq lists it as uncharacterized. The transcript has 3 exons. Lineage: Eukaryota; Viridiplantae; Streptophyta; Magnoliopsida; Rosales; Rosaceae. The record is from RefSeq and is a predicted model, not a curated record.
UUUUUCUUUUUUUGUUUAUGACAAUUGCAGAAAAUUUGAAAUAACAAAUUUGAUUCCCUCUCUCUCUCCCCCCCUCGGUUUCUCAGCAAUCUCAUCCUUAGAUCUGCCGAACCAACCAAUCUCACCACUCUGGUUUCUCCGUCGGCUGCUCCCAUACGGGAAAUGAAGCCCUUUGUAAAUUGUAAUAGUCUCACGCUCCAUACCCACCACUCUAGUCAUCAUUUCAUCUGUAGUGAAAGCCCCAAAUGGAUCGAAAACCGGCGACUUCGAUUAGCAAUCGGACUCGGAUUCAGAGUGGAUGAUAUCGUGAUCGGAAUCGAAAUCUUUGAGUUUAGGUAUUCUCGAGCGUCAUCGGGGUCGAUCUGGAUGUAGUCCAUGAGGAUUGAUUCUGGGUUUUUGCAAUUUUUAAUUUCCCAGAAUUGCAGAGAUGAGGGCUUGUCAUCAGAGUCCUUGAACGGUGCAAUCUGAUGAGGCUUCGAUCCGAUCCGCUUACGUCAUCAUGUUUCUCUUCGACUGGUUCUACGGCGUGCUCGCUUCCCUCGGUCUGUGGCAGAAGGAGGCCAAGAUCUUGUUCUUAGGGCUCGAUAAUUAAUGUCGGCAAGACCAGCUUGCUUCACAUGCUCAAAGAUGAGUUUGAAAGGUUCGAUUGAUUGGACAUUUUGAUCUGAACUUCUCAAGGGCUGUUCAUUAGUCUUCGAAAACAGAAAUUCACCUCAUCACAAGAACCUACUCUCCAGCAACUAAGGUGUUAGCAGACUUAACAGAAAAAGAAAUCUGGCCUGUAGUUUCUGUAACAAUUCAAUUUUCACAUAUUGGUGUUAUACAUGUAUCACUUCUUACUUUAGCAUUGUCUACUUUAGUUUAGUUUCUCAUGGUUCAUGUAAUCUUGACUUCAAGUUGUUCAUGAAUACAAAUGGCUAUAGUACCUCGCAGUGGAUAUAUGGAGCUUGGGAUGUACUAUUCUUCAAAUGGCGAGUUCAAAACCCCCAUGGAGCCAGUAUGAAGGGGUGAGCUAUACCGUUCAGAACCUAUUCCUUUACAAAAUUUCUUUUCUAUUACUAGCAUAAUGAAAAUACAAAAUUCCUUUUUUACAAUGUUUAUUUUGGAAUAAGCUGUAGCUGUUACACAAGCUCUGGUAGCAUACUUAUUUUGAUUUAACAAAUCCCACCUUCCAUGAGUGACUAGGAGCAGUUGACAUGUCUUUUUAGGAGCAACUCCAUGAAAAGAAGCAGGCCAUGCAUGCAGGAUUUGGAUAUGAAAUUACAAGAAAAAUAUAGAGAUCAAGCUGCAUCCUACCAAAUUAGAUAAUGAAGCGUGAACCAGUCACAGCCAACCCCAGAGCCAACCGUGGACAGCUCCAAAGAACUAAUGUAAAACUUUUGGUUAAGAUUACAAAUGUAAUAUAUUUUUCUUAAGACCAACUAUUUUUGUAACCAACAUAUAAAACACAAUGUUGGUUAGAAUAGCAAUUUUUCGAAGAAUGUAAAUAGAUAAGCUUGGUUAGCAUACCGGGUCUUGCUAAGAAUUUCAAUUUUUGGAAUAUGUAAAUAUAUUGUUCAAUUCAAGAAAAAAAAGAACCCGCGGCAUCGAGCGGGGGAAUGAUCUAGUUGAAUCUA